This is a long non-coding RNA of Daucus carota subsp. sativus, 841 nucleotides long. RefSeq lists it as uncharacterized. The transcript is spliced from 4 exons. The record is from RefSeq and is a predicted model, not a curated record. Lineage: Eukaryota; Viridiplantae; Streptophyta; Magnoliopsida; Apiales; Apiaceae.
AUAAGGAGGAAGAACUCAACAAAGUUUGGUCGAUGGCCAGAGAUGGUCCCACAUAGAGCAAGCUGCCAAGCAGUAAAGCAGUCUUAUAUCAGUAGAGCUGUCGCCUGUCCCGGAGCUCCGGCUGGUUUCCGAUCGUCGGAAAAAAUGAGUGUUUUUCAAUCCGUGGCAAUCAGAGUGACAAUGAGCAAUAUGUUAGGUCAGCUUUCAUCAUCUGAAUAAGCCUCGAGCAAACAUGCGGAGGUGAAACUGAUAAUGGCAUUUCUCAAACUUAAAGCCAUGUCUACAAGACUGCAAGUUUCCUUAAGCUCACAUUUCAUGGUUCUAUCCUCAUCCUGGUCUGGAAACUCCUGCAAAAAAUGAAGAAAUCCCAUGUACUACAGCAAAGUAGAGUAGGACACUAAUUUCCGUUUUUAAAUCUUUCACAUCAUAUGACUUAUGAGGGAAUGGAGGGUAUAAUUGAGAGAAUAUGGAUUCAUCAUAAUUCAGUAAUUAGUAUUUGUUUGUAACUGUGCUGGGGUAUAGGCAUUCCAACCAUUUUCACUGCAUAGUGGUUGAUCUCCAAGGUUGGUUCCAGGCUCUCAAAUAGCCUAGUAACCAAUCAUGCCCUUCACCAUCAUUUCCCAUUGAAGCUUUCUAUUCAAAUAGAUUUACACAUCUUAGCUUAUGUUACAUUAAUCAACUUCAGAUAUCAAUUCUGAACCUCAAAACUAUUUUACUGUACAAUUAUUUGCCUCUUGUCACUUGCUUGCAAGGCAUUUAAAUUUUAUCUUAGUUAUAAGUAGCCUUUUUAUAGAUAGAUUUCCAUAAAUAGUGUCCUUUACUUAGUUGGGUCAUUCCUUUU